Molecule: ribosomal RNA, 255 nt
Filed under: uncultured bacterium
Lineage: Bacteria
Description: partial 16S ribosomal RNA
Rfam family: Bacterial small subunit ribosomal RNA
Source: RNAcentral
UACGUAGGGAGCAAGCGUUGUCCGGAAUCAUUGGGCGUAAAGCGUGCGCAGGCGGUGAUGUAAGACAGUUGUGAAAUCCCCGGGCUCAACCUGGGAACUGCAUCUGUGACUGCAUCGCUGGAGUGCGGCAGAGGGGGGAUGGAAUUCCGCGUGUAGCAGUGAAAUGCGUAGAUAUGCGGAGGAACACCGAUGGCGCAGGCAGCGUCCUGGCCGCUUGCUGACACUGAGGCACGAAAGCUGGGGGGAGCAAACAGG